UACGUAGGGGGCAAGCGUUGUCCGGAUUUAUUGGGCGUAAAGAGCGUGUAGGCGGCCUGACAGGUCUGCUGUGAAAACUCGAGGCUCAACCUCGAGAUGUCGGCGGAAACCACUUGGCUAGAGUCCGGAAGAGGAGAGUGGAAUUCCCGGUGUAGCGGUGAAAUGCGCAGAUAUCGGGAAGAACACCCGUGGCGAAGGCGGCUCUCUGGGACGGUACUGACGCUGAGACGCGAAAGCGUGGGGAGCGAACAGG
This 253-nucleotide ribosomal RNA is filed under the name uncultured bacterium. Its description in RNAcentral is "partial 16S ribosomal RNA". It matches the Rfam family "Bacterial small subunit ribosomal RNA", at positions 524 to 776 of the family's 1533-position model. The record is from RNAcentral.